GAGGAUAUAGCUCAUUUAGUAGAGUGCUUAACUCACAUUUAAGGCCCUGGGUUCAAUCCCCAGCACCAUCA
Non-coding RNA from Ictidomys tridecemlineatus (thirteen-lined ground squirrel), 71 nucleotides. NCBI's taxonomy places the organism in Eukaryota, Metazoa, Chordata, Mammalia, Rodentia, Sciuridae. The record is from Rfam.